Molecule: regulatory RNA element, 59 nt
Organism: Thalassotalea sp. PP2-459
Lineage: Bacteria; Pseudomonadati; Pseudomonadota; Gammaproteobacteria; Alteromonadales; Colwelliaceae
Rfam family: L31-Gammaproteobacteria ribosomal protein leader
Source: Rfam
CGUAUGGUGCUUAGCGAAAUUGGUUCGACUGAGUGGCGAUACGGCCCAUAUUUAGAGGU